RNAcentral lists this ribosomal RNA (377 nucleotides) under uncultured bacterium. RNAcentral's name for it is "partial 16S ribosomal RNA". It matches the Rfam family "Bacterial small subunit ribosomal RNA", at positions 338 to 732 of the family's 1533-position model. The record is from RNAcentral.
CCUACGGGUGGCAGCAGUAGGGAAUAUUGCUCAAUGGGGGAAACUCUGAAGCAGCAACGCCGCGUGGAGGAUGACGGUUUUCGGAUUGUAAACUCCUUUUGAUAGAGAAGUUAAUGACGGCAUCUGACGCAUAAGCACCGGCUAACUCCGUGCAAGCAGCCGCGGUAAUACGGAGGGUGCAAGCGUUACUCGGAAUCACUGGGCGUAAAGAGCGCGUAGGCGGGGUAGCAAGUCAGAUGUGAAAUCCUAUGGCUUAACCAUAGAAUUGCAGUUGAAACUGGUAUUCUAGAGUAUGGGAGAGGUAGGUGGAAUUCUUGGUGUAGGGGUAAAAUGCGUAGAGAUCAAGAGGAAUACUCAUUGCGAAGGCGAGCGGCUAG